GAAAUGCGAUAAGUAAUGUGAAUUGCAGAAUUCAGUGAAUCAUCGAAUCUUUGAACGCACCAUGCGCUCCUUGGUAUUCCGAGGAGCAUGCCUGUUUGAGUGUCAUGGAAUUCUCAACUCUAUUUGCUUUUGUGAAUAGAGCUUGGAUUUGGAGGUUUAUUGCUGGUACUUGUGAUCGGCUCCUCUUGAAUGCAUUAGCUCGAACCUUUGCGGAUCAGCUAUCGGUGUGAUAAUUGUCUACGCCGUUGCAGUGAAGCAUAUCAAUGGGCUCGGCUUCCAAUCGUCCUUUACUGGACAAUGACUUUGACCUUUGACCUCAAAUCAGGUAGGAUUACCCGCUGAACUUAAGC
RNAcentral lists this unclassified non-coding RNA (350 nucleotides) under plant metagenome. RNAcentral describes it as "partial contains 5.8S ribosomal RNA, internal transcribed spacer 2, and large subunit ribosomal RNA". The stretch from base 1 to 105 matches the Rfam family "5.8S ribosomal RNA", at positions 50 to 154 of the family's 154-position model. The record is from RNAcentral.